AAUACGUUUUCUUUAUUUGCGUAGUUUUGGCACUAAUUUAGCUCCAUACAGGCUACAGUCUUAUAAUACUCACCUCUGAACGACUAAAGAGCUAGCGCUUAGUGAGUUUAGUGGCUAAUACUAAUGUUGCUCCAGUUAGUGGAGUUUGCUUACUCCACAAGCCAUGUUAAUCUUACACAUUCUACAAAUGUUGAAUCUACUUGUCAUCAUACCUUUUUGUUUUGCAGCAAUACUCAGAGGCUGCUCAGCUGUAUGAGAAAGGCCAGUACUACGACAAAGCUGCUUCUGUCUACAUCCGCUGCAAAAACUGGGCGAAGGUUGGAGAGCUACUACCCCAUGUGAGCUCCCCUAAGAUUCACCUGCAGUACGCCAAGGCCAAGGAGGCGGAUGGGAAGUAUAAAGAAGCUGCGAUGGCCUAUGAGAGCGCUCGGGAUUGGGACAACAUGAUCCGGAUCCUCCUGGAACAUCUGAACAACCCGGAGGAGGCCGUCCGGAUCGUCAGGGAAACUCAGUCCAUUGAUGGAGCCAAGAUGGUAGCCAGGUAAGAAAGAGAGAGAAAAGAAAAGGAGGGAGAGUUUGACACAACUCCAGAGAACCACAGUGGGAGCAAUUAUUAUUCACUAAUAGAGAAAACAUCGAACACUGGCAAACUUUCCCAGGAGUGACCAGCCAACCAAAAUUACUCCAAAAGGGCAUGAAGAACUCAUCCAGGAGGUCACAAAAGAAACCCAGAACCACAUUUAAAGAACUGCUGGUCUCACAUGAUUUAAUAAUAAGAAAGAGAUUGGGUGAAAAUGAUAAAUAUUCCUUGGAGUGACGAAAAAAGUGGACAUUUUUGGAAGGUCAUUCGUUUUAGACAAAGAGCAUCAUGCUGAAUGUAAAACAUGGUGGUGGUAGUGUGAUGGUCUGGGGCUGCUUUGCUGCUUCAGGG
Molecule: long non-coding RNA, 931 nt
Filed under: Astyanax mexicanus (Mexican tetra)
Lineage: Eukaryota; Metazoa; Chordata; Actinopteri; Characiformes; Acestrorhamphidae
Description: lncRNA (ENSAMXG00005008613.1)
Source: RNAcentral